UGUAUUCAACGAAGUCUAUAGCCUUGGGCCACGUGCCCGGUAAUCUUUGAAAAUUUCAUCGCGGAUGGGGAUAGAUCAUUGCAAUUGUUGGUCUUCAACGAGGAAUUCCUAAUAAGCGCCGAGUCAUCAUUUCGCGUUGACUACGCCCCCGCCCUUUGUACACACCGCCCAUCGCUUCCUACCGAUUGAAUGGUCGGCGAAGUGUUGAAGGAUCGAGGCGGCGGGGCGGUUCACGCCGCCUGACGACGUCGCAAGAAGUCCACUGAACCUUAUCAUUUAGAGGAAGGAGAAGUCGUAACAAGGUUUCCGUAGGUGAACCUGUAGAAGGAUCAUUGUCGAGACCCACAAACGAGGACGACCGUGAAUGCGUCAAUGAUUGCUCGCCGUGCCCCACGGGGUACACGUGCGACCAAGGCAUCGGCCAGUGGGCUCCCCAUCUGACCCGUCUUGAAACACGGACCAAGGAGUCUGACAUGCGUGCGAGUCGACGGGUGUGGAAACCCGGAAGGCACAAGGAAGCUAACGGGCGGGAACCCUCUCGAAGGGUUGCACCGCCGCCAAUUCCGAUCUUCCGUGGAAGGGUUCGAAGUUGCAGCAUGCAUGUCGGGACCCCAAAGAUGGUGAACUAUGCCCGAGCGAGGCGGCCGCCGAGGAAACUCGGUGGAGGCCCGGCGAUCUUCGACGUGCAAAUCGUUCAUUCCGACUUGGGUAUAGGGGCGAAAGACUAAUCGAACCAUCUAGUAGCUGGUUCCCUCCGAAGUUUCCCUCAGGAUAGCUGGAGCCCAUGUGCGAAGUUCUAUCGGGUAAAGCCAAUGAUUAGAGGCAUCGGGCGCAACGGCCUCGACCUAUUCUCAAACUUUAAAUAGGUAGGACGGCGCGGCUGCCGUUGAGCAGCGUCGCGGAAUCGAGCUCCAAGUGGGCCAUUUUUGGUAAGCAGAACUGGCGAUGCGGGAUGAACAGGAAGCCGUUACGGUGCCCAAUCCGCUAACCCGCAUACACCACAAAGGGUGUUGGUCGAUUAAGACAGCAGGACGGUGGUCAUGGAAGUCGAAAUCCGCUAAGGCGUGUGUAACAACUCACCCGCCGAAUCAACUAGCCCCGAAAAUGGAUGGCGCUGAAGCGCGACCACACACCGGCCAUCGUGGCGAAAGCCAAGCCCCGGCGAGUAGGGAGGGGCGGCGGUCGCCAGAAAACCAGGGCGCUGAAGCCCGUCGCGAGCUACCGGUGCAGAUCUGGUGGUAGUAGCAAAUAUUCAAAUGAGAACUUUGAAGGUCGAAGAGGGGAAAGGUUCCAUGUGAACGGCACUUGCACAUGGGUUAGCCGAUCCUAAGGGGACGGGGAAGCCUGUCCGGAGAGUUGUCUCCACGCCGAGUCUCAAAGGGAAUCGGGUUAAAAUUCCCGAGCCGACGCCGGCGCGGAAAAAAAACGUUAGGAAGUCCGGAGAGACGCGGGGACUUCGGGAAGAGUUAUCUUUUCUGCUUAACCACCCUGCCACCUGAAACGGCUCAGCCGGAGGUAGGGUCCAGUGGUCGGAAGAGCGCCGCGAUGUCGCUGGCGUCCGGCAGCCCCUUUUUGCCCUUUGAAAACCGGAGGACCGAGUGUCGCCCGCGCCGAUCGCAUUCAUAACCGCAUCAGUCUCCAAGGUGAACAGCCUCGCCCAUGGAACAAUGUAGGCGGGGGAAGUCGGCAAAACGGAUCAAAACUUUCGGAAAAUGAUUGGUUUCUAAGGGCUGGGCACGGGGUCCCGCCUGAACCCGUCGGUUGUCGGCGGAUCGUUCGAGCUGCUUCGCGGUGAGAGCGGGUCGCCACGCGUCGGGCGGGGGACGGACCGGAAUGGCCCCUCGGGGGCCUUCCCCGCGCGUCGAACACCGACCUUUAACCGGUAUGACAAAGGGGAAUCCGGAUCGUUUAAUUAAAAACAAAGAAUUGCGAUGGUCCCCGCGGAUGCUCACGAAUGUGAUUUCUGCCCAGUGCUCAAUGUCAAAGUGAAGAAAUUCAACCAAAGCGGUAAACGACGGGAGUAACUAUGACUCUCUUAAGGUAGCCAAAUGCCUCGCCAUCUAAUUAGUGACGCGCAUGAAUAGAUUAACGAGAUUCCCCACCGCCCCUCGCUUUACUAUCCAAUAAAACCACAGCCAAGGGAACGGGCUUGGCAGAAUAAGUGGGGAAAGAAGACUCUGUUGAGCUUGACUCUAGUCCGACUUUGUGAAAUGACUUGAGAGGUGUAGGAUAAGUGGGAGCCGGUUCGCCGGCGGAAGUGAAAUACGACUACUUUUAACGUUAUUUUACUUAUUCCGUGAGUCGGAGGCGGGGCUCGGCCCCUCCUUUUGGACCCAAGGCCCGCCUAGCGGGCCGAUCUGGGCGGAAGACAUUGUCAGGUGGGGAGAUUGGCUAGGGCAGCACAUCUGAUAAAAGAUAACGCAGGUGUCCUAAGAUGAGCUCAACGAGAACAUAAAUCUCAUGUGGAACAAAAGGGUAAAAGCUCGUUUGAUUCUGAUUUCCAGUACGAAUAUGAACCGUGAAAGUGUGGCCUAUCGAUCCUUUAGACCUUCGGAAUUUGAAGCUAGAGGUGUCAGAAAAGUUACCACAGGGAUAACUGGCUUGUGGCAGCCAAGCGUUCAUAGCGACGUUGCUUUUUGAUCCUUCGAUGUUGGCUCUUCCUAUCAUUGUGAAGCAGAAUUCACCAAGUGUUGGAUUGUUCACCCACCAAUAGGGAACGUGAGCUGGGUUUAGACCGUCGUGAGACAGGUUAGUUUUGUUAGGAUCGGAGCGGCACUAAGAGGGGGGGGUGAAUUAGUGUUGGAUUAAAACUUCAGUUUUAAUAAAUCUUUCGACGAUAAGAAUAAUGUUUCGCUUUGAAACCGCGUUUCAAUUGCGUUGAAAGUUUAACGUAAUAAGAUGAGGGCAGUGAACUUAGCAAAGUAAAGGUUUGCAGAAAGAUAAAUGCAUAAACAUAAACGCGAAACCGGAGAUUACGCCGAUUUUAGAGUGGUUCGGUCAAAUGACCUACAUCCACUGGCAUGAGGCCCCUCUUCGAUGAGGCUCCCACCUUCCACUAGCAAAUCUCUUGAAA
This 3073-nucleotide ribosomal RNA is filed under the name Musa schizocarpa. Its description in RNAcentral is "bacterial LSU rRNA". It matches the Rfam family "Eukaryotic large subunit ribosomal RNA", at positions 462 to 3401 of the family's 3401-position model. The record is from RNAcentral. Lineage: Eukaryota; Viridiplantae; Streptophyta; Magnoliopsida; Zingiberales; Musaceae.